Molecule: transfer RNA, 73 nt
Filed under: Fasciola hepatica (liver fluke)
Lineage: Eukaryota; Metazoa; Platyhelminthes; Trematoda; Plagiorchiida; Fasciolidae
Rfam family: tRNA
About the family: Transfer RNA (tRNA) molecules are approximately 80 nucleotides in length. Their secondary structure includes four short double-helical elements and three loops (D, anti-codon, and T loops). Further hydrogen bonds mediate the characteristic L-shaped molecular structure. tRNAs have two regions of fundamental functional importance: the anti-codon, which is responsible for specific mRNA codon recognition, and the 3' end, to which the tRNAs corresponding amino acid is attached (by aminoacyl-tRNA synthetases). tRNAs cope with the degeneracy of the genetic code in two manners: having more than one tRNA (with a specific anti-codon) for a particular amino acid; and 'wobble' base-pairing, i.e. permitting non-standard base-pairing at the 3rd anti-codon position.
Source: Rfam by way of RNAcentral
UUCGUGAUAGCUCAGUUAGCCGAGCAUCCGCCCUUUAAGCGGAGUGUAGCUGGUUCGAUUCCAAUUCUCGGAG